UGCCCGGUAGUGUAACGGCAGCACGACAGGUUCUGGCCCUGUUAGUCGAGGUUCGAAUCCUUGCCGGGCAGCCA
This 74-nucleotide transfer RNA is filed under the name Candidatus Eiseniibacteriota bacterium. RNAcentral describes it as "tRNA-Gln". It matches the Rfam family "tRNA". From Rfam's summary of the family: Transfer RNA (tRNA) molecules are approximately 80 nucleotides in length. Their secondary structure includes four short double-helical elements and three loops (D, anti-codon, and T loops). The record is from RNAcentral. Lineage: Bacteria; Candidatus Eiseniibacteriota.